UACGUAGGGAGCAAGCGUUGUCCGGAAUCAUUGGGCGUAAAGCGCGCGUAGGUGGCCUCAUAAGUCCGCUGUGAAAGUCAAGGGCUCAACCUUUGAAAGCCGGUGGAUACUGUGAGGCUAGAGUACGGAAGAGGCGAGUGGAAUUCCUGGUGUAGCGGUGGAAUGCGCAGAUAUCAGGAGGAACACCAAUAGCGAAGGCAGCUCGCUGGGACGUUACUGACACUGAGGCGCGAAAGCGUGGGGAGCGAACAGG
Molecule: ribosomal RNA, 253 nt
Filed under: uncultured bacterium
Lineage: Bacteria
Description: partial 16S ribosomal RNA
Rfam family: Bacterial small subunit ribosomal RNA
Source: RNAcentral